RNAcentral lists this long non-coding RNA (4761 nucleotides) under Hordeum vulgare. RNAcentral's name for it is "long non-coding RNA (HVUL_LNC011352)". Lineage: Eukaryota; Viridiplantae; Streptophyta; Magnoliopsida; Poales; Poaceae. The record is from RNAcentral.
CGCCAGCUGCUCCUUCCACAGCGUUUAGAAUCCCCUUUACCCGGCAGCGUGUACAGCAGUAGGGCACAACAACAGCCAAUAGGCACUGUACCUUUCCUUCGUACGUGGUCACGGCGGCAACAGCAUGGAGUUCAUUUAUUGAUGAAUCCCCAUCUUAUAUGCUUGCCCUUCUCUUUCGUAAUUAAUGAGCCCAAAAUUAACCUGCAUAUUUAACCCUAUGCACAAGGACAGUGGAUGAUCUGUGACAAAAACUGCAAUUAGGAUGGUUAAUUGGAGGCUCACCAACAUAUAUUGAUCUUAUCUUACGCUUGUGCAUUUUAGUUCUGCAGUGGCGGGUGUAAUUUAAGGCACGACAAGGGCCCUUGGCUACAUAAUUUUGUGUGUGCGUGUUAGUAGUGAUUUCAUGUAAUCGAUCCUGAGGGUUGAGUUCCAACAAUUGUUAGGUCUAAUCUUGAGUUUGUAGUCACAAGUGCAUGUACAGGUUGUGCUAGGACGUGUAGUCCAUGGUCUUGGGCUAAGUACGUGUCUAGUUUAGAUAGUUCUAGGAGUCCUGAGUCAUGCACGGGUACUAGUCCUUGCAGGAACAGGUUAGUAGGUGUCCGAGGUUAGUUUGGCUAGUUAGAGUCCGAGUAGGACUUGUGUCAUGUUGGUCAAGGCUGCGUGCAUAUAUAUAGACGUGAAGGUAUGUGGAUUUUGGAGUACCGUGACUUGAGAAAAAAGAGAAAAUAAAGAGGGAAAAUUAAGGCACGACAAGGGCCCUUGGCUACAUAAUUUUGUGUGUGCGUGUUAGUAGUGAUUUCAUGUAAUCGAUCAUGAGGGUUGAGUUCCAACAAUUGGUAUCUAGAGCAAGGUCGAGGUGAAGCUAUACUUGCCCCGGGGAGGUGACCCGACUAGCGCCUCGGGGCGGGCUAUAUGGUCACUGGGUGGUGCAGCGACGAGGAGCGGCGGGCAAUGGUCGUUCGUGGAGCGACGGAUGAAGAGGUUCAGGAGAUCGUCGUUCGGCGAAGCGGCAAGGAGGGACAGUGGUCGGUCGUCGGCAAGGCGGUGGAAGAAAAUCGUUGAUGGGAGCGAUGGUGCCGAGGUGCGGUGCCGAGAAGCCAUCAAGGUCAUCGUCCAAGGGAAUAGGAGUCAAGGAGUCGUGCGGGUUGGGACAUCUCGGUCGUCGUGUCAGUGAGUCGUCGGCGUCGUCAUGUCCAAGUGCUCGUCUUGGUGAUGAUUCGUUGGAGUUGAAGCGGUGUGCACGGUGUUCCGUGAGUCAUAUCCAUGUCCUCGUGGAGCGUCCUGGUUGCGGCCAGUAUGGAUUCGGUGUGAUGCCGAAGGUGGACGAUGGUAGGCGAAGCCAUCGUAAAGCGAGGAGGUGUGCGAGUAGUGGAGAGUGGAUCUACUACAAGCAAGUACAAAGAGUAUGGUGCGGACCGAGUGCAAGGCAGCGGCCAAGCAAUGGCGGUGGCACAACAUUGUAGAGCAAGGAGGUUCUACUUGUUUCCAGACGGGUCAUACUCAAUGUACGGAUACGACGGUUUAGUCGAUGUGUCGACAAGUCACGAGUCAACAACGAGUCAAGACAAGACGGAACACUAAGAAGAUGGCAUGUCAAGAUUAGGAAGAGAUUGUUAGGUAUAAUCUUGAGUUUGUAGUCACUAGUGCAUGUACAGGUUGUGCUAGGACGUGUAGUCCAUGGUCUUGGGCUAAGUACGUGUCUAGUUUAGAUAGUUCUAGGAGUCCUGAGUCAUGUACGGGUACUAGUCCUUGCAGGAACAGGUUAGUAGGUGUCCGAGGUUAGUUUGGCUAGUUAGAGUCCGAGUAGGACUUGUGUCAUGUUGGUCAAGGCUGCGUGCAUAUAUAUAGACGUGAAGGUAUGUGGAUUUUGGAGUACCGUGACUUGAGAAAAAAGAGAAAAUAAAGAGGGAAAAUUAAGGCACGACAAGGGCCCUUGGCUACAUAAUUUUGUGUGUGCGUGUUAGUAGUGAUUUCAUGUAAUCGAUCAUGAGGGUUGAGUUCCAACAAUUGGUAUCUAGAGCAAGGUCGAGGUGAAGCUAUGCUUGCCCCGGGGAGGUGACCCGACUAGCGCCUCGGGGCGGGCUAUAUGGUCACUGGGUGGUGCAGCGACGAGGAGCGGCGGGCAAUGGUCGUUCGUGGAGCGACGGAUGAAGAGGUUCAGGAGAUCGUCGUUCGGCGAAGCGGCAAGGAGGGACAGUGGUCGGUCGUCGGCAAGGCGGUGGAAGAAAAUCGUUGAUGGGAGCGAUGGUGCCGAGGUGCGGUGCCGAGAAGCCAUCAAGGUCAUCGUCCAAGGGAAUAGGAGUCAAGGAGUCGUGCGGGUUGGGACAUCUCGGUCGUCGUGUCAGUGAGUCGUCGGCGUCGUCAUGUCCAAGUGCUCGUCUUGGUGAUGAUUCGUUGGAGUUGAAGCGGUGUGCACGGUGUUCCGUGAGUCAUAUCCAUGUCCUCGUGGAGCGUCCUGGUUGCGGCCAGUAUGGAUUCGGUGUGAUGCCGAAGGUGGACGAUGGUAGGCGAAGCCAUCGUAAAGCGAGGAGGUGUGCGAGUAGUGGAGAGUGGAUCUACUACAAGCAAGUACAAAGAGUAUGGUGCGGACCGAGUGCAAGGCAGCGGCCAAGCAAUGGCGGUGGCACAACAUUGUAGAGCAAGGAGGUUCUACUUGUUUCCAGACGGGUCAUACUCAAUGUACGGAUACGACGGUUUAGUCGAUGUGUCGACAAGUCACGAGUCAACAACGAGUCAAGACAAGACGGAACACUAAGAAGAUGGCAUGUCAAGAUUAGGAAGAGAUUGUUAGGUAUAAUCUUGAGUUUGUAGUCACUAGUGCAUGUACAGGUUGUGCUAGGACGUGUAGUCCAUGGUCUUGGGCUAAGUACGUGUCUAGUUUAGAUAGUUCUAGGAGUCCUGAGUCAUGUACGGGUACUAGUCCUUGCAGGAACAGGUUAGUAGGUGUCCGAGGUUAGUUUGGCUAGUUAGAGUCCGAGUAGGACUUGUGUCAUGUUGGUCAAGGCUGCGUGCAUAUAUAUAGACGUGAAGGUAUGUGGAUUUUGGAGUACCGUGACUUGAGAAAAAAGAGAAAAUAAAGAGGGAAAAUUAAGGCACGACAAGGGCCCUUGGCUACAUAAUUUUGUGUGUGCGUGUUAGUAGUGAUUUCAUGUAAUCGAUCCUGAGGGUUGAGUUCCAACAGUAAUGCUUAAACCUUUUAAAUAAUAGAGCUUCCCAUUUUAGAAAAUAUGGCAACGGAAAAAAUGCACUAUACAAAAUAGUGUCGACCCUUAAAAUAUGUUCCUAACAUUUUUAGAAAGACAAUUCUCUACAUAGUAUAGCGUGCUAUUAAUGACGCUAUAGCAUUGCUAUUUUUGCCCUAGUUAUAUAUAUGAUGGUAAGUAUGAGGAACUUAGUUAGAGUUAUGUAUAGACAGAUACUUAUUCAUAUAGCAGUAGCACAUGGACAGAGUUGUAGCUACCGCAAGAGGCUUACCAUCAUAUGUGCAAUAAAGGAGUAGUAGUGUUAUUAAUUCAUAUAUCUACCUCACAGACUAGUUAUGAGAAAGGACACAAACCCUUGGCUACAGAUAUAUCAUAUAUAUACCUCCUCCUUCUGCCAGCAGCGAUAGGUUCGCUCGCACACAUUCAUAGUUUUCACUGAGAUAUGAUGCUUUUAUCUUAUCCCAGUUUUUUUUUGCCUCCCAAUUAAUUAAGAUAGGCAUUGAAGGUUUCUGGAAGUCUCCGAAAACGGUAGACUGAUGGCGCAGUAUCCAUCUCUCUAGCCUACAUCGUAAUACGGCGCAAUAUACUGCUUAGCGGCCACUACACUCUGUAUUUUUUGGUAAUCAUGAGCCAUCAUGGUGUGUCGUCAUCAGCAAAGCUAAUUAGCCUAUCUUGUGCUAGCGACAAUAAACGUAACCAAAUUUUUAAUUUCGAGAAAGCAUAAAUACAUGCAUACAAGAUUAUUGCUCUAGGACUGAGAAAUCGAGCAUCUUAUAUAUCUUUGCAGGUUUUGCUCGUCCAUAGAUACAAUAUCUUCAAUUUGAUUUUGGUUGUCUGUCAAUUUGAACCAAAUCAUUGGACCAUUAACCUGAAUUUUGUACGUCGUCUAUUUUAUUAUGUGGACAUGGACCGUGGGUAGAUGAUGAUUAAUGGCGAUGGCAGUCAGGAACAGGAACUAGAGGGUCACAACAUAGCUCCCUUUUAUGUUAAUUGUGCCCUUGUGGUGGUAAUUGGGAACACCUUAGCUAGAGAGUCUCUCAGAGUGAGAAAUACUAAGUACAUAUAGCAGUAGCAGGUAGAUAGAGUUAUACCAUUCCAAUAAAUCAUAACUAAUUAUAUGAUUGACGCACAAACAAAAUUACUUGUUAUAAAAAAAUACAUGUGGUUGAGCAACCAAAGAGUCAAGGCCACAUAGACGCUUGAACAAUUCAGGAUCUCAUAUGUCAACUAUACGUUGAUUUCAACAAAUAUGUCAUGAUUGAUAAAUAUAAGAGUCUUGCACCACAUCAUGCAUUAAAAAUAGUUAUUCAUUACCAAAUGUUAUGACCCGUUGCAAGAACUUGAACUCUAUGCACUUAAAUGACCAUAUAUAGAUCCCAUUGUUUCACCUUAACUAUAAAGAGUUUCUACUAACUUAAAUGAGCCAGUCUGUGUCUAGCUAUCUAACAUCGGCAAUCAUUACCUAGUUUAUCCAUCUCACUUUUGCGUAUUCUUAGCAUGCCUAUCUACCAUAAAUAGUAGCACUACUAAAAAAAGGCUAUAGCUAAUAUAUAUGGAC